GGUGCAUGGUGGCUUAGUGGUUAGAACGUCCACCUCACAUUUCCAGGGUCGUGGGUUCGUUUCCCACCGUGACCA
Ameiurus melas (black bullhead) is the source of this 75-nucleotide non-coding RNA. The record is from the annotation of a GenBank genome assembly. Lineage: Eukaryota; Metazoa; Chordata; Actinopteri; Siluriformes; Ictaluridae.